AUUGAACGCUGGCGGCAGGCCUAACACAUGCAAGUCGAGCGGAUGAAGGGAGCUUGCUCCUGGAUUCAGCGGCGGACGGGUGAGUAAUGCCUAGGAAUCUGCCUGGUAGUGGGGGAUAACGUCCGGAAACGGGCGCUAAUACCGCAUACGUCCUGAGGGAGAAAGUGGGGGAUCUUCGGACCUCACGCUAUCAGAUGAGCCUAGGUCGGAUUAGCUAGUUGGUGGGGUAAAGGCCUACCAAGGCGACGAUCCGUAACUGGUCUGAGAGGAUGAUCAGUCACACUGGAACUGAGACACGGUCCACACUCCUACGGGAGGCAGCAGUGGGGAAUAUUGGAUAAUGGGCGAAAGCCUGAUCCAGCCAUGCCGCGUGUGUGAAGAAGGUCUUCGGAUUGUAAAGCACUUUAAGUUGGGAGGAAGGGCAGUAAGUUAAUACCUUGCUGUUUUGACGUUACCAACAGAAUAAGCACCGGCUAACUUCGUG
Molecule: ribosomal RNA, 484 nt
Filed under: uncultured bacterium
Lineage: Bacteria
Description: partial 16S ribosomal RNA
Rfam family: Bacterial small subunit ribosomal RNA
Source: RNAcentral